This 254-nucleotide ribosomal RNA is filed under the name uncultured bacterium. RNAcentral's name for it is "partial 16S ribosomal RNA". It matches the Rfam family "Bacterial small subunit ribosomal RNA", at positions 524 to 776 of the family's 1533-position model. The record is from RNAcentral.
UACGAAGGGUGCAAGCGUUACUCGGAAUUACUGGGCGUAAAGCGUGCGUAGGUGGUUUGUUAAGUCUGCUGUGAAAGCCCCGGGCUCAACCUGGGAAUGGCAGUGGAUACUGGCAAGCUAGAGUGCGAUGAGAGGGGUGUGGAAUUCCCGGUGUAGCGGUGAAAUGCGUAGAGAUCGGGAGGAACACCAGUGGCGAAGGCGGCACCCUGGAUCAGCACUGACACUCAGGCACGAAAGCUAGGGGAGCAAACAGG